AACCCCUGUGACAUACCACUUGUUGCCUCGGCGGAUCAGCCCGCUCCCGGUAAAACGGGACGGCCCGCCAGAGGACCCCUAAAACUCUGUUUCUAUAUGUAACUUCUGAGUAAAACCAUAAAUAAAUCAAAACUUUCAACAACGGAUCUCUUGGUUCUGGCAUCGAUGAAGAACGCAGCAAAAUGCGAUAAGUAAUGUGAAUUGCAGAAUUCAGUGAAUCAUCGAAUCUUUGAACGCACAUUGCGCCCGCCAGUAUUCUGGCGGGCAUGCCUGUUCGAGCGUCAUUUCAACCCUCAAGCACAGCUUGGUGUUGGGACUCGCGUUAAUUCGCGUUCCUCAAAUUGAUUGGCGGUCACGUCGAGCUUCCAUAGCGUAGUAGUAAAACCCUCGUUACUGGUAAUCGUCGCGGCCACGCCGUUAAACCCCAACUUCUGAAUGUUGACCUCGGAUCAGGUAGGAAUACCCGCUGAACUUAAGCAUAUCAAUAAGCGGAGGA
RNAcentral lists this ribosomal RNA (496 nucleotides) under Fusarium oxysporum. RNAcentral describes it as "eukaryotic LSU rRNA". The stretch from base 131 to 284 matches the Rfam family "5.8S ribosomal RNA". Lineage: Eukaryota; Fungi; Ascomycota; Sordariomycetes; Hypocreales; Nectriaceae. The record is from RNAcentral.